CCUACGGGUGGCAGCAGUGCGGAAUAUUGGUCAAUGGCCGAGAGUCUGAACCAGCCAAGUAGCGUGAAGGAUGACUGCCCUAUGGUUUGUAACCUUCUUUUAUAUGGGAAUAAAAUGUUCCACGUGUGGGAUUUUGUAUGUCCCAUAUUAAUAAGGAUCGGCUAACUCCGUGCCAGCAGCCGCGGUAAUACGGAGGAUCCGAGCGUUAGCCGGCUUUAUUGGGUUUAAAGGGAGCGUAGGUGGAUUGUUAAGUCAGUUGUGAAAGUGUGCGGCUCAAACGUAAAAUUGCAGUUGAAACUGGCAGUCGUGAGUACAGUAGAGGUGGGCGGAAUUCGGGGUGUAGCGGUGAAAUGCUUAGAUAUCACGAAGAACUCCGAUUGCGAAGGCAGCUCACUGGACUGCAACUGACACUGAGGCUCGAAAGUGUGGGUAUCAAACAGGAUUAGAUACCCCUGUAGUC
RNAcentral lists this ribosomal RNA (460 nucleotides) under uncultured bacterium. Its description in RNAcentral is "partial 16S ribosomal RNA". It matches the Rfam family "Bacterial small subunit ribosomal RNA", at positions 338 to 795 of the family's 1533-position model. The record is from RNAcentral.